Acanthosepion pharaonis is the source of this 114-nucleotide non-coding RNA. NCBI's taxonomy places the organism in Eukaryota, Metazoa, Mollusca, Cephalopoda, Sepiida, Sepiidae. The record is from the annotation of a GenBank genome assembly.
UUAUGGUCAUAUCGCGUUGAAACAGCGGUUCCUGUACGAUCACUGAAGGUAAGUAACGUCGAGCCUGGUCUUUACGUAGAUGGGUGACCGCUUGAGAAUACCAGGCGCUGUAAG